UGGGGAAUUUUGGACAAUGGGCGAAAGCCUGAUCCAGCAAUGCCGCGUGUGUGAAGAAGGCCUUCGGGUUGUAAAGCACUUUUGUCCGGAAAGAAAUCCUUGGCUCUAAUACAGUCGGGGGAUGACGGUACCGGAAGAAUAAGCACCGGCUAACUACGUGCCAGCAGCCGCGGUAAUACGUAGGGUGCAAGCGUUAAUCGGAAUUACUGGGCGUAAAGCGUGCGCAGGCGGUUUGCUAAGACCGAUGUGAAAUCCCCGGGCUCAACCUGGGAACUGCAUUGGUGACUGGCAGGCUAGAGUAUGGCAGAGGGGGGUAGAAUUCCACGUGUAGCAGUGAAAUGCGUAGAGAUGUGGAGGAAUACCGAUGGCGAAGGCAGCCCCCUGGGCCAAUACUGACGCUCAUGCACGAAAGCGUGGGGAGCAAACAGGAUUAGAUACCCUGGUAGUCCACGCCCUAAACGAUGUCAACUAGUUGUUGGGGAUUCAUUUCCUUAGUAACGUGGCUAACGCGUGAAGUUGACCGCCUGGGGAGUACGGUCGCAAGAUUAAAACUU
This 554-nucleotide ribosomal RNA is filed under the name uncultured bacterium. Its description in RNAcentral is "partial 16S ribosomal RNA". It matches the Rfam family "Bacterial small subunit ribosomal RNA", at positions 355 to 902 of the family's 1533-position model. The record is from RNAcentral.